AAUGGCAUAAGCCAGCUUGACUGCGAGCGUGACGGCGCGAGCAGGUGCGAAAGCAGGUCAUAGUGAUCCGGUGGUUCUGAAUGGAAGGGCCAUCGCUCAACGGAUAAAAGGUACUCCGGGGAUAACAGGCUGAUACCGCCCAAGAGUUCAUAUCGACGGCGGUGUUUGGCACCUCGAUGUCGGCUCAUCACAUCCUGGGGCUGAAGUAGGUCCCAAGGGUAUGGCUGUUCGCCAUUUAAAGUGGUACGCGAGCUGGGUUUAGAACGUCGUGAGACAGUUCGGUCCCUAUCUGCCGUGGGCGCUGGAGAACUGAGGGGGGCUGCUCCUAGUACGAGAGGACCGGAGUGGACGCAUCACUGGUGUUCGGGUUGUCAUGCCAAUGGCACUGCCCGGUAGCUAAAUGCGGAAGAGAUAAGUGCUGAAAGCAUCUAAGCACGAAACUUGCCCCGAGAUGAGUUCUCCCUGACCCUUUAAGGGUCCUGAAGGAACGUUGAAGACGACGACGUUGAUAGGCCGGGUGUGUAAGCGCAGCGAUGCGUUGAGCUAACCGGUACUAAUGAACCGUGAGGCUUAACCUU
RNAcentral lists this ribosomal RNA (578 nucleotides) under Escherichia coli. RNAcentral describes it as "partial 23S ribosomal RNA". It matches the Rfam family "Bacterial large subunit ribosomal RNA", at positions 2353 to 2925 of the family's 2925-position model. The record is from RNAcentral. Lineage: Bacteria; Pseudomonadati; Pseudomonadota; Gammaproteobacteria; Enterobacterales; Enterobacteriaceae.